GUGGGAGGGGGCUUGCUCCCGAUGGCGGUGUGUCAGGCAGUACAUCUGUCACUGAUCCACUGCUAUCGGGAGCAAGCCCCCUCCCAC
Molecule: unclassified non-coding RNA, 87 nt
Filed under: Pseudomonas poae
Lineage: Bacteria; Pseudomonadati; Pseudomonadota; Gammaproteobacteria; Pseudomonadales; Pseudomonadaceae
Source: RNAcentral